UACGUAGGUGGCGAGCGUUGUCCGGAUUUACUGGGUGUAAAGGGCGAGUAGGCGGUUAUACAAGUCAGAUGUGAAAUACCGGGGCUCAACCCCGGGGCUGCAUUUGAAACUGCAUAUCUUGAGUGAUGGAGAGGCAGGCGGAAUUCCCAGUGUAGCGGUAAAAUGCAUAGAGAUUGGGAAGAACACCAGUGGCGAAGGCGGCCUGCUGGACAUUAACUGACGCUGAGGAGCGAAAGUGUGGGGAGCAAAC
This 250-nucleotide ribosomal RNA is filed under the name uncultured prokaryote. RNAcentral's name for it is "partial 16S ribosomal RNA". It matches the Rfam family "Bacterial small subunit ribosomal RNA", at positions 524 to 773 of the family's 1533-position model. The record is from RNAcentral.